UUUCACUGCCAUGCAGUGCCAGCCCUGUAAGGCUGAAGAUGUGCCAGCAUUAGAAAUAAAAAGGACCUUGUUCUGUUUCAACCUCAGCCUUGCCCAGCAUCACACACUGACACUGGGAGGUCUUCCACGAACGUGUGCCACAGGCCCUGCUAAAGCAGAAGCUACAAUCAACAACUCCUAAAUGGAUCACAGGGGGCUGAAGAUCUUCUUUGCUGAAAUGCAGUCAUGAGACUCCCGCUUCAGGGCUGACAUUACCUGCUGCAGAAGCUUAUCUGGAAAUGACUAAGAUAGGUCCAAUGGUCUGACAGUUUUGAUGCAGUCUGGGAAGUAUGUUAACUGCAGAGCUGCUGAACCAAACUGUUUUGCCAACCUUCCCUCAAGAACCUGUUUGCUACAGUUACAACGCCGUGGUCAACCUGGCACUGAGCAGCAGUACAAUGGACUGGGGAGCUGCUACGUACAAAGAUCACUUCAUACAUUAAUGGCAAAGCAGGUGCAUGUUUCACAGCAGUGGCAUAUAAAGAGCUCAAGCCUGACACUAACUUUGUCAAGCAGACUUGUAACACUCGAGGAAAGAAUGGAACUGGAAAAGUAUUUUAAAGGCUAUGAGGAUCGUCAAAUAUAUCACACAACAGGUAAUUAAUUACCUACAUUUCCCAUGCCUGCAGUGAAAUGAGCUCCAGUGCUCAGUUCAGCCAAUUACCUCCAAAAGCUUCUGCACACAGAAGACCAGGAUAAAAUUCAGCAGCCGAGCAGAGUGGAUUUUCUAGCACCAUCAGGGGUUUAAUAGAUGCCUGAUUAGCCUGGGCAGUUUAGGUAAACUGAUGAAAGGAUCCUAAAGGCUGCUGGAACUGGCUUGAGAAAGGAAGAAAACAGAAGAGAGGGAGAUUAUUUAAUUGAAAGAAAUAGGAUGGGCAGAAUGACUCUGCUUGUUCUCCUUGCUCCUGGAAAAAGGGGACUUUGAGCUUUGUUGCAUCACUCCAACUUGGAAGAGGAAUGUGUGACUCUGA
This is a long non-coding RNA of Strigops habroptila (Kakapo), 1010 nucleotides long. RefSeq lists it as uncharacterized. The transcript has 4 exons. The record is from RefSeq and is a predicted model, not a curated record. Lineage: Eukaryota; Metazoa; Chordata; Aves; Psittaciformes; Psittacidae.